Molecule: long non-coding RNA, 308 nt
Organism: Temnothorax curvispinosus
Lineage: Eukaryota; Metazoa; Arthropoda; Insecta; Hymenoptera; Formicidae
Exons: 3
Source: RefSeq, a predicted model, not a curated record
GUUUACGAUAACUAAUCGGAUCGUUGAUCGGACUGAGCAGUGGCACUCAACCGCUAGACUUCUAAAUUUCCCCAGACUAAUCCGGAUCAGUGAUCCCUGUCUCACAGCAGCACAGCACUGAUCCCGCAUGGUGGAAGAAAGUUGACGGAGAAAUUAUAAUUUUAUUGAAAGAUAGAUAAAAACUGAUGACUGAUGAUUGAUGAUUGAUGACUGAUGAUUGAUCGAUGACUGGACAUCGCCUAUAACGCAUGAAGGUAGUUUGGAAGACACUAUACUGUGAAAAUAUUGAAUAUAUCCGUCGUGCGCAG